Molecule: non-coding RNA, 177 nt
Filed under: Geosporobacter ferrireducens
Lineage: Bacteria; Bacillati; Bacillota; Clostridia; Peptostreptococcales; Thermotaleaceae
Source: RNAcentral
AUUUAAUAAAUUUUUACAGGUGCCCAUUUUAGGGAGAAUAGGGAACCGGGUGAGAUUCCCGGACGGACCCGCCACUGUGAAGGUGAGCUUUUACUUAUACCACCCCAUCCAUUAUGGGGGAAGGGCGUAAAAUGCUGUGAUCCUAGUCAGGAGACCUGCCUGUAAAAUUUCUAUGUC